UGGGGAAUAUUGGACAAUGGGCGCAAGCCUGAUCCAGCCAUGCCGCGUGAGUGAUGAAGGCCCUAGGGUUGUAAAGCUCUUUCACCGGUGAAGAUAAUGACGGUAACCGGAGAAGAAGCCCCGGCUAACUUCGUGCCAGCAGCCGCGGUAAUACGAAGGGGGCUAGCGUUGUUCGGAAUUACUGGGCGUAAAGCGCACGUAGGCGGAUCGAUCAGUUAGGGGUGAAAUCCCGGGGCUCAACCCCGGAACUGCCUCUAAUACUGUCGAUCUGGAGUUCGAGAGAGGUGAGUGGAAUUCCGAGUGUAGAGGUGAAAUUCGUAGAUAUUCGGAGGAACACCAGUGGCGAAGGCGGCUCACUGGCUCGAUACUGACGCUGAGGUGCGAAAGCGUGGGGAGCAAACG
Molecule: ribosomal RNA, 402 nt
Filed under: uncultured bacterium
Lineage: Bacteria
Description: bacterial SSU rRNA
Rfam family: Bacterial small subunit ribosomal RNA
Source: RNAcentral